UACGUAGGUGGCGAGCGUUGUCCGGAAUUAUUGGGCGUAAAGAGCGUGUAGGUGGGAUCAUAAGUCUUUUGUCAAAGUGCGGGGCUCAACCCCGUGAUGCGGAGGAAACUGUGAUUCUUGAGUGCCGGAGAGGAAAGCGGAAUUCCCAGUGUAGCGGUGAAAUGCGUAGAUAUUGGGAGGAACACCAGUGGCGAAGGCGGCUUCUGGACGGUGUCUGACACUGAGGCGCGAAAGCCAGGGGAGACGCAAGCGG
Molecule: ribosomal RNA, 253 nt
Filed under: uncultured bacterium
Lineage: Bacteria
Description: partial 16S ribosomal RNA
Rfam family: Bacterial small subunit ribosomal RNA
Source: RNAcentral